RNAcentral lists this unclassified non-coding RNA (200 nucleotides) under Kavinia sp. Its description in RNAcentral is "partial internal transcribed spacer 2". The record is from RNAcentral. Lineage: Eukaryota; Fungi; Basidiomycota; Agaricomycetes; Gomphales; Lentariaceae.
UUAAGUUCAGCGGGUAGUCCUACCUGAUUUGAGGUCAGAUGAAGUGAAAGGUUUGUCCUAAGACGGUUGGAAGCAGCCCCUCCAACGAGUCGGCGAAACGGCGCUACAGUCACGAAGCGUUUCUUAUCACACCGUUGUUAAUACCAAACUCGCGCGGCGGACCAGCUGAUGCAUUUCAAGACGAGCCGGAGGGAUCGAAA